CCUACGUGUGGCAGCAGUCGAGAAUCAUUCACAAUGGGGGAAACCCUGAUGGUGCGACGCCGCGUGGGGGAAUGAAGGUCUUCGGAUUGUAAACCCCUGUCAUGUGGGAGCAAAUUAAAAAGAUAGUACCACAAGAGGAAGAGCCGGCUAACUCUGUUCCAGCCGCCGCGGUACUCCAGAGGUCUCAAGCGUUGUUCGGAAUCACUGGGCGUAACGGGUGCGUAGGCUGUUUCGUAAGUCGUGUGUGAAAGGCGCGGGCUCAACCCGCGGACGGCACAUGAUACUGCGAGACUAGAGUAAUGGAGGGGGAACCGGAAUUCUAGGUGUAGCAGUGAAAUGCGUAGAUAUCGAGAGGAACACUCGUGGCGAAGGCGGGUUCCUGGACAUUAACUGACGCUGAGGCACGAAGGCCAGGGGAGCGAAAGGGAUUAGAUACCCUAGUAGUC
This 446-nucleotide ribosomal RNA is filed under the name uncultured bacterium. RNAcentral describes it as "partial 16S ribosomal RNA". It matches the Rfam family "Bacterial small subunit ribosomal RNA", at positions 338 to 795 of the family's 1533-position model. The record is from RNAcentral.